ACGAGGCACUACGGUGCUGAAGCAACAAAUGCCCUGCUUCCAGGAAAAGCCUCUAAGCAUCAGGUAACAUCAAAUCGUACCCCAAACCGACACAGGUGGUCAGGUAGAGAAUACCAAGGCGCUUGAGAGAACUCGGGUGAAGGAACUAGGCAAAAUGGUGCCGUAACUUCGGGAGAAGGCACGCUGACACGUAGGUGAAGUGAUUUACUCAUGGAGCUGAAGUCAGUCGAAGAUACCAGCUGGCUGCAACUGUUUAUUAAAAACACAGCACUGUGCAAACACGAAAGUGGACGUAUACGGUGUGACGCCUGCCCGGUGCCGGAAGGUUAAUUGAUGGGGUCAGCGCAAGCGAAGCUCCUGAUCGAAGCCCCGGUAAACGGCGGCCGUAACUAUAACGGUCCUAAGGUAGCGAAAUUCCUUGUCGGGUAAGUUCCGACCUGCACGAAUGGCGUAAUGAUGGCCAGGCUGUCUCCACCCGAGACUCAGUGAAAUUGAACUCGCUGUGAAGAUGCAGUGUACCCGCGGCAAGACGGAAAGACCCCGUGAACCUUUACUAUAGCUUGACACUGAACAUUGAGCCUUGAUGUGUAGGAUAGGUGGGAGGCUUUGAAGCGUGGACGCCAGUCUGCGUGGAGCCGACCUUGAAAUACCACCCUUUAAUGUUUGAUGUUCUAACGUGGACCCGUAAUCCGGGUUGCGGACAGUGUCUGGUGGGUAGUUUGACUGGGGCGGUCUCCUCCUAAAGAGUAACGGAGGAGCACGAAGGUUGGCUAAUCCUGGUCGGACAUCAGGAGGUUAGUGCAAUGGCAUAAGCCAGCUUGACUGCGAGCGUGACGGCGCGAGCAGGUGCGAAAGCAGGUCAUAGUGAUCCGGUGGUUCUGAAUGGAAGGGCCAUCGCUCAACGGAUAAAAGGUACUCCGGGGAUAACAGGCUGAUACCGCCCAAGAGUUCAUAUCGACGGCGGUGUUUGGCACCUCGAUGUCGGCUCAUCACAUCCUGGGGCUGAAGUAGGUCCCAAGGGUAUGGCUGUUCGCCAUUUAAAGUGGUACGCGAGCUGGGUUUAGAACGUCGUGAGACAGUUCGGUCCCUAUCUGCCGUGGGCGCUGGAGAACUGAGGGGGGCUGCUCCUAGUACGAGAGGACCGGAGUGGACGCAUCACUGGUGUUCGGGUUGUCAUGCCAAUGGCACUGCCCGGUAGCUAAAUGCGGAAGAGAUAAGUGCUGAAAGCAUCUAAGCACGAAACUUGCCCCGAGAUGAGUUCUCCCUGAGACUUAGAGUCUCCUGAAGGAACGUUGAAGACGACGACGUUGAUAGGCCGGGUGUGUAAGCGCAGCGAUGCGUUGAGCUAACCGGUACUAAUGAACCGUGAGGCUUAACCUU
RNAcentral lists this ribosomal RNA (1380 nucleotides) under Salmonella enterica. Its description in RNAcentral is "bacterial LSU rRNA". It matches the Rfam family "Bacterial large subunit ribosomal RNA", at positions 1569 to 2925 of the family's 2925-position model. The record is from RNAcentral. Lineage: Bacteria; Pseudomonadati; Pseudomonadota; Gammaproteobacteria; Enterobacterales; Enterobacteriaceae.